UACAACUUUCAGCAACGGAUCUCUUGGCUCUCGCAUCGAUGAAGAACGCAGCGAAAUGCGAUAAGUAAUGUGAAUUGCAGAAUUCAGUGAAUCAUCGAAUCUUUGAACGCAU
This 112-nucleotide ribosomal RNA is filed under the name Agaricus bisporus (cultivated mushroom). RNAcentral's name for it is "partial 5.8S ribosomal RNA". It matches the Rfam family "5.8S ribosomal RNA", at positions 1 to 109 of the family's 154-position model. Rfam says of the family: 5.8S ribosomal RNA (5.8S rRNA) is a component of the large subunit of the eukaryotic ribosome. Lineage: Eukaryota; Fungi; Basidiomycota; Agaricomycetes; Agaricales; Agaricaceae. The record is from RNAcentral.